AUUGAACGCUGGCGGCAGGCCUAACACAUGCAAGUCGAGCGGAUGAAGGGAGCUUGCUCCUGGAUUCCGCGGCGGACGGGUGAGUAAUGCCUAGGAAUCUGCCUGGUAGUGGGGGAUAACGUCCGGAAACGGGCGCUAAUACCGCAUACGUCCUGAGGGAGAAAGUGGGGGAUCUUCGGACCUCACGCUAUCAGAUGAGCCUAGGUCGGAUUAGCUAGUUGGUGGGGUAAAGGCCUACCAGGCGGAGGAUCGGAAACUGGUCUGAGAGGAUGGUCAGUCACACUGGAACUGAGACACGGACCAGACUCCUACGAGAGGCAGCAGUGGGGAAUAUUGGACAAUGGGCGAAAGCCUGGUCCAGCCAUGCCGCGUGUGUGAAGAAGGUCUUCGGAUUGUAAAGCACUUUAAGUUGGGGGGAAGGGCAGUAAGUUAAUACCUUGCUGUUUUGACGUUACCAACAGAAUAAGCACCGGCUAACUUCGUG
RNAcentral lists this ribosomal RNA (484 nucleotides) under uncultured bacterium. Its description in RNAcentral is "partial 16S ribosomal RNA". It matches the Rfam family "Bacterial small subunit ribosomal RNA", at positions 30 to 507 of the family's 1533-position model. The record is from RNAcentral.